RNAcentral lists this long non-coding RNA (409 nucleotides) under Pan troglodytes (chimpanzee). Its description in RNAcentral is "lincRNA". Lineage: Eukaryota; Metazoa; Chordata; Mammalia; Primates; Hominidae. The record is from RNAcentral.
AUCCGAACAUGGUUUUUGGAGAGCCCUCUUUGUCAACAUCUGUCUGCCUGUUGCCUUUAAGUACAGAAUAUUUUGUUGCACUGUUGCGCUCCGAUUUUUAUUCAUGAAAUGACUUCCUUUUUUUUUCAGUCACGUAAUGAUCGGGUAUCAGAAAAAGACGUCAGCAUCCUAGUCCCUCAAGGAACAUAUUAACUAUUCUGUGCUGUCCUCUUGGAUGAUAAGAUCCGGAGUCAUCGACUUCUCAUAAACACCUUUCACUCAUACAAUCCAAUUUUUAAGAAGUCCAAUUAUUUUGAUGGUUUUCAAUUUCACCCAUUUCUCAAGGACAGCCCCACCAAUCAGAGCUCUGGUCUCUGGAAUUAAGCAUCAUCAAGCUCUCCUAUUAAUAAAUUUAAUUUAGAUCUCCUAA